GUGCUUGCUUUGGCAGCACAUAUACUAAAAUCAGAAUGAUAUGGAGAAGAUUAGCAUGACCCCUGUGCAAGGAUGACACACAAAUUUGUGAAGUGUUCCAUAUUAUU
Molecule: small nuclear RNA, 107 nt
Organism: Callorhinus ursinus (northern fur seal)
Lineage: Eukaryota; Metazoa; Chordata; Mammalia; Carnivora; Otariidae
Source: RefSeq, a predicted model, not a curated record